CCUACGGGUGGCAGCAGUGGGGAAUAUUGGGCAAUGGGCGCAAGCCUGACCCAGCAACGCCGCGUGAGGGAAGAAGGCUUUCGGGUUGUAAACUUCUUUUGUCAGGGACGAAGCAAGCGCCGGUACCUGACGAAUCAGCCACGGCUAACUACGUGCCAGCAGCCGCGGUAAUACGUAGGCGGCAAGCGUUAUCCGGAUGUACUGGGUGUAAAGGGCGUGUAGGCGGGGCGGCAAGUCUGAUGUGAAAACCACGGGCUCAACCUGCGGCCUGCAUUUGAAACUGUUUUUCUUGAGUGCUGGAGGGGUAAGCGGAAUUCCGGGUGUAGCGGUGAAAUGCGUAGAUAUACGGAGGAACACCAGUGGCGAAGGCGGAUUGCUGGACAGUAACUGACGCUGAGGCGCGAAAGCGUGGGGAGCAAACAGGAUUAGAUACCCGAGUAGUC
This 443-nucleotide ribosomal RNA is filed under the name uncultured bacterium. RNAcentral describes it as "partial 16S ribosomal RNA". It matches the Rfam family "Bacterial small subunit ribosomal RNA", at positions 338 to 795 of the family's 1533-position model. The record is from RNAcentral.